Molecule: ribosomal RNA, 501 nt
Filed under: uncultured bacterium
Lineage: Bacteria
Description: partial 16S ribosomal RNA
Rfam family: Bacterial small subunit ribosomal RNA
Source: RNAcentral
AUUGAACGCUGGCGGCAGGCUUAACACAUGCAAGUCGAGCGGGGGGAGGUAGCUUGCUACCGGACCUAGCGGCGGACGGGUGAGUAAUGCUUAGGAAUCUGCCUAUUAGUGGGGGACAACAUCUCGAAAGGGAUGCUAAUACCGCAUACGUCCUACGGGAGAAAGCAGGGGAUCUUCGGACCUUGCGCUAAUAGAUGAGCCUAAGUCGGAUUAGCUAGUUGGUGGGGUAAAGGCCUACCAAGGCGACGAUCUGUAGCGGGUCUGAGAGGAUGACCCGCCACACUGGGACUGAGACACGGCCCAGACUCCUACGGGAGGCAGCAGUGGGGAAUAUUGGACAAUGGGGGGAACCCUGAUCCAGCCAUGCCGCGUGUGUGAAGAAGGCCUUAUGGUUGUAAAGCACUUCAAGCGAGGAGGAGGCUACUUUAGUUAAUACCUAGAGAUAGUGGACGUUACUCGCAGAAUAAGCACCGGCUAACUCUGUGCCAGCCGCCGCAGUAA